UCCCUGGUGGUCCAGUGGUUACGACUCUGUGCUUCCACUACAGGGGGCACGGGUUCAAUUCCUGGUCCAGGAA
This is a non-coding RNA of Bos taurus (domestic cattle), 73 nucleotides long. NCBI's taxonomy places the organism in Eukaryota, Metazoa, Chordata, Mammalia, Artiodactyla, Bovidae. The record is from Rfam.